Long non-coding RNA from Oncorhynchus keta (chum salmon), 356 nucleotides. RefSeq lists it as uncharacterized. NCBI's taxonomy places the organism in Eukaryota, Metazoa, Chordata, Actinopteri, Salmoniformes, Salmonidae. The record is from RefSeq and is a predicted model, not a curated record. The transcript is spliced from 3 exons.
UCAAACACACAGAUUAUAACACUGUUAGUUCAUAGAGAGGUCAAACACACAGAUUAUAACACUGUUAGUUCAUAGAGAGGUCAAACACACAGAUUAUAACACUGUUAGAGAGGUCAAACACACAGAUUAUAACACUGUUAGUUCAUAGAGAGGUCAAACACACAGAUUAUAACACUGUUAGUUCAUAGAGAGGUCAAACACACAGAUUAUAACACUGUUAGAGAGGUCAAACACACAGAUUAUAACACUGUUAGUUCAUAGAGAGGUCAAACACACAGAUUAUAACACUGUUAGAGAGGUCAAACACACAGAUUAUAACACUGUUAGUUCAUAGAGAGGUCAAACACACAGAUAAC